GAUGAACGCUGGCGGCGUGCCUAAUACAUGCAAGUCGAGCGAACAGACGAGGAGCUUGCUCCUCUGACGUUAGCGGCGGACGGGUGAGUAACACGUGGAUAACCUACCUAUAAGACUGGGAUAACUUCGGGAAACCGGAGCUAAUACCGGAUAAUAUAUUGAACCGCAUGGUUCAAUAGUGAAAGACGGUUAUGCUGUCACUUAUAGAUGGAUCCGCGCCGCAUUAGCUAGUUGGUAAGGUAACGGCUUACCAAGGCAACGAUGCGUAGCCGACCUGAGAGGGUGAUCAGCCACACUGGAACUGAGACACGGUCCAGACUCCUACGGGAGGCAGCAGUAGGGAAUCUUCCGCAAUGGGCGAAAGCCUGACGGAGCAACGCCGCGUGAGUGAUGAAGGUCUUCGGAUCGUAAAACUCUGUUAUUAGGGAAGAACAAAUGUGUAAGUAACUAUGCACGUCUUGACGGUACCUAAUCAGAAAGCCACGGCUAACUACGUG
Molecule: ribosomal RNA, 497 nt
Filed under: uncultured bacterium
Lineage: Bacteria
Description: partial 16S ribosomal RNA
Rfam family: Bacterial small subunit ribosomal RNA
Source: RNAcentral